RNAcentral lists this ribosomal RNA (477 nucleotides) under uncultured bacterium. Its description in RNAcentral is "partial 16S ribosomal RNA". It matches the Rfam family "Bacterial small subunit ribosomal RNA", at positions 28 to 507 of the family's 1533-position model. The record is from RNAcentral.
GAUGAACGCUGGCGGCGUGCCUAAUACAUGCGAGUCGAGCGAACAGAUGAGGAGCUUGCUCCUCUGACGUUAGCGGCGGACGGGUGAGUAACACGUGGAUAACCUACCUAUAAGACUGGGAUAACUUCGGGAAACCGGAGCUAAUACCGGAUAAUAUAUUGAACCGCAUGGUUCAAUAGUGAAAGACGGUUUUGCUGUCACUUAUAGAUGGAUCCGCGCCGCAUUAGCUAGUUGGUGAGGUAACGGCUUACCAAGGCAACGAUGCGUAGCCGACCUGAGAGGGUGACCUGCCACAUUGAGACUGAGAGACGGACACGCCUCGUACGGGAGGCAGCAGUGGGGAAUAUUACACACUGGUCGGAAGCCUGAUAAAGUAAUGCCGCGUUCGGGAUGACGGCCUUCGGGGUGUAAACAGCUUUCGCCUGUAACGAAGCGUGAGUGACGGUAAUGGGUCAAGAAGCACCGGCUAACUACGUG